This 372-nucleotide ribosomal RNA is filed under the name uncultured organism. RNAcentral's name for it is "partial 16S ribosomal RNA". It matches the Rfam family "Bacterial small subunit ribosomal RNA", at positions 526 to 896 of the family's 1533-position model. The record is from RNAcentral.
GUAGGGUGGCAAGCGUUGUCCGGAAUUAUUGGGCGUAAAGCGCGCGCAGGCGGUCCUUUAAGUCUGAUGUGAAAGCCCACGGCCCAACCGUGGAGGGUCAUUGGAAACUGGGGGACUUGAGUACAGAAGAGGAAAGCGGAAUUCCAAGUGUAGCGGUGAAAUGCGUAGAGAUUUGGAGGAACACCAGUGGCGAAGGCGGCUUUCUGGUCUGUAACUGACGCUGAGGCGCGAAAGCGUGGGGAGCAAACAGGAUUAGAUACCCUGGUAGUCCACGCCGUAAACGAUGAGUGCUAAGUGUUAGGGGGUUUCCGCCCCUUAGUGCUGCAGCUAACGCAUUAAGCACUCCGCCUGGGGAGUACGGCCGCAAGGCUG